Molecule: ribosomal RNA, 820 nt
Filed under: Coprinopsis kimurae
Lineage: Eukaryota; Fungi; Basidiomycota; Agaricomycetes; Agaricales; Psathyrellaceae
Description: eukaryotic LSU rRNA
Rfam family: Eukaryotic large subunit ribosomal RNA
Source: RNAcentral
GAUUCCCCUAGUAACUGCGAGUGAAGCGGGAAAAGCUCAAAUUUAAAAUCUGGUAGUCUUUGGCUGCCCGAGUUGUAAUCUAGAGAAGUGUUGCCCGUGCUGGACCGUGUACAAGUCUCCUGGAAUGGAGCGUCAUAGAGGGUGAGAAUCCCGUCUUUGACACGGACUCCCAGUGCGUUGUGGUGCGCUCUCCACGAGUCGAGUUGUUUGGGAAUGCAGCUCAAAAUGGGUGGUGAAUUCCAUCUAAAGCUAAAUAUUGGCGAGAGACCGAUAGCGAACAAGUACCGUGAGGGAAAGAUGAAAAGAACUUUGGAAAGAGAGUUAAACAGUACGUGAAAUUGUUGAAAGGGAAACGCUUGAAGUCAGUCGCGUUGGCCGGAAAUCAACCUUGGUUCUCCUGGGUGUACUUUCUGGUUAACGGGCCAGCAUCAGUUUUGAUCGAUGGAAAAAGUCCAAGGGAAUGUGGCAUCUUCGGAUGUGUUAUAGCCCUUGGUCGUAUGCAUCGGUUGGGACUGAGGAAUUCAGCACGCCGCAAGGCCGGGGUUCGCCACGUACGUGCUUAGGAUGCUGGCAUAAUGGCUUUAAUCGACCCGUCUUGAAACACGGACCAAGGAGUCUAACAUGCCUGCGAGUGUUUGGGUGGAAAACCCGAGCGCGUAAUGAAAGUGAAAGUCAAGAUCUCUGUCGCGGAGAGCAUUGACGCCCAGACCAGAAGUUUACGGACGGUUCUGCGGUAAAGCAUGUAUGUUGGGACCCGAAAGAUGGUGAACUAUGCCUGAAUAGGGUGAAGCCAGAGGAAACUCUGGUGGAGGCUCGUAGC